RNAcentral lists this ribosomal RNA (576 nucleotides) under uncultured Vibrio sp. RNAcentral's name for it is "bacterial SSU rRNA". It matches the Rfam family "Bacterial small subunit ribosomal RNA", at positions 162 to 733 of the family's 1533-position model. The record is from RNAcentral. Lineage: Bacteria; Pseudomonadati; Pseudomonadota; Gammaproteobacteria; Vibrionales; Vibrionaceae.
GCUAAUACCGCAUAAUAGCUUCGGCUCAAAGAGGGGGACCUUCGGGCCUCUCGCGUCAGGAUAUGCCCAGGUGGGAUUAGCUAGUUGGCGAGGUAAUGGCUCACCAAGGCGACGAUCCCUAACUGGUCUGAGAGGAUGAUCAGCCACACUGGAACUGAGACACGGUCCAGACUCCUACGGGAGGCAGCAGUGGGGAAUAUUGCACAAUGGGCGCAAGCCUGAUGCAGCCAUGCCGCGUGUAUGAAGAAGGCCUUCGGGUUGUAAAGUACUUUCAGCAGUGAGGAAGGCGGGUACGUUAAUAGCGUAUUCGUUUGACGUUAGCUGCAGAAGAAGCACCGGCUAACUCCGUGCCAGCAGCCGCGGUAAUACGGAGGGUGCGAGCGUUAAUCGGAAUUACUGGGCGUAAAGCGCAUGCAGGUGGUUUGUUAAGUCAGAUGUGAAAGCCCGGGGCUCAACCUCGGAAUAGCAUUUGAAACUGGCAGACUAGAGUACUGUAGAGGGGGGUAGAAUUUCAGGUGUAGCGGUGAAAUGCGUAGAAAUCUGAAGGAAUACCGGUGGCGAAGGCGGCCCCCUGGA